GGAGCACUGUCAGGAACCAAAGGAGAUGAGGAAGCGGUGACGUCGUCUCGCUUCCUAGGUGACGCUGUAACUCGGUUUCCGAUCGAGCUUGAGUGGCGUAGCUCCGCCAUUGCUCGCUUCGGACUGAACGCCAGUUUGCUUCACCGUACUCCGGCGAGUAGUUAACGUUGACGGGGUAAGUGAGAAUUUUCUAGAAUUUCGGCUCCGGCAACGGCUAUAUUAUCAGUCAGUGUGUAAAAGAGUGCUGAGUUUCC
Molecule: unclassified non-coding RNA, 254 nt
Filed under: Hevea brasiliensis (rubber tree)
Lineage: Eukaryota; Viridiplantae; Streptophyta; Magnoliopsida; Malpighiales; Euphorbiaceae
Source: RNAcentral